UCCUACGGGAGGCAGCAGUGGGGAAUAUUGCACAAUGGGGGAAACCCUGAUGCAGCGACGCCGCGUGAGUGAAGAAGUAUCUCGGUACGUAAAGCUCUAUCAGCAGAGAAGAAAAAAAGUCUUUGGCUUUGGACGGUACCUGAUUAAGAAGCCCCGGCUAACUACGUGCCAGCAGCCGCGGUAAUACGUAGGGGGCAAGCGUUAUCCGGAUUUACUGGGUGUAAAGGGAGCGUAGACGGCAGCGCAAGUCUGAAGUGAAAUGCCGGGGCUCAACCCCGGAACUGCUUUGGAAACUGUGCAGCUAG
Molecule: ribosomal RNA, 305 nt
Filed under: uncultured bacterium
Lineage: Bacteria
Description: bacterial SSU rRNA
Rfam family: Bacterial small subunit ribosomal RNA
Source: RNAcentral